AAGCUUCCGAUGUGUGGCAUGCUGGAUGCGGUUGAGUAGGGUCCUGAAUUUUCUUAUCCACGAAUCCCACCUACCUCUUAAGAAGGACCCAAGGUACAAGAACCUGCAGUCCAGGCACCAAGUCAGCUUUAACAUGUGAAAAUUCUAUGGAAAUUCCAGAAAUAGCAUGCAGGAAUCAAAAAAUACAUAACUCCUGUUUAUUGACUUUUUUAAGUUAUAGGCACUUGCAAAACAGCAG
Molecule: long non-coding RNA, 238 nt
Organism: Ictidomys tridecemlineatus (thirteen-lined ground squirrel)
Lineage: Eukaryota; Metazoa; Chordata; Mammalia; Rodentia; Sciuridae
Source: RefSeq, a predicted model, not a curated record